This 384-nucleotide ribosomal RNA is filed under the name uncultured bacterium. RNAcentral describes it as "bacterial SSU rRNA". It matches the Rfam family "Bacterial small subunit ribosomal RNA", at positions 30 to 416 of the family's 1533-position model. The record is from RNAcentral.
AUUGAACGCUGGCGGCAUGCCUUACACAUGCAAGUCGAACGGCAGCGGACCUUCGGGUGCCGGCGAGUGGCGAACGGGUGAGUAAAGUAUCGGAACGUACCUUUCAGUGGGGGAUAACUGUCCGAAAGGACAGCUAAUACCGCAUAUUCUGUGAGCAGGAAAGCAGGGGAUCGCAAGACCUUGCGCUGAUUGAGCGGCCGAUAUCAGAUUAGCUAGUUGGUGAGGUAAAGGCUCACCAAGGCGACGAUCUGUAGCGGGUCUGAGAGGAUGAUCCGCCACACUGGAACUGAGACACGGUCCAGACUCCUACGGGAGGCAGCAGUGGGGAAUUUUGGACAAUGGGGGCAACCCUGAUCCAGCCAUGCCGCGUGAGUGAAGAAGGCC